RNAcentral lists this small nucleolar RNA (125 nucleotides) under Dasypus novemcinctus (nine-banded armadillo). RNAcentral's name for it is "Small nucleolar RNA SNORA31 (ENSDNOG00000029839.1)". It matches the Rfam family "Small nucleolar RNA SNORA31". Rfam says of the family: ACA31 (SNORA31) belongs to the H/ACA class of snoRNAs which are thought to guide the sites of modification of uridines to pseudouridines. Lineage: Eukaryota; Metazoa; Chordata; Mammalia; Cingulata; Dasypodidae. The record is from RNAcentral.
AUGCAUCUGACAGCCCUGGAGCAGUUACGUCUGCUGCUAAGGUUUCCACGAUAGACGCAAGAAAAAGAAGUCCUCGGGCUUUCUGUCUGAUUGUGGCAGCCAAGACUGAAUGGGGGAAGACAGGA